UGCAGUCGAACGAGGUAGCAAUACCUAGUGGCGGACGGGUGAGUAACGCGUAGGUAACCUGCCUCAUAGUGGGGGAUACCCAGCCGAAAGGUUGGCUAAUACCGCAUAAGUUGGCUGUCUGAGAUGGCAGUCAGGAAAGAUUUAUCGCUAUGAGAGGGGCCUGCGUCCGAUUAGCUAGUUGGUGGGGUAACGGCUCACCAAGGCGACGAUCGGUAGCUGGUCUGAGAGGACGAUCAGCCACACUGGAACUGAGACACGGUCCAGACUCCUACGGGAGGCAGCAGUGGGGAAUUUUCCGCAAUGGGCGAAAGCCUGACGGAGCAACGCCGCGUGGAUGAUGAAGUCUUUCGGGACGUAAAAUCCUUUCAGCAGGGACGAAGCGAGUGACGGUACCUGCAGAAGAAGCAUCGGCUAACUACGUGCCAGCAGCCGCGGUAAUACGUAGGAUGCGAGCGUUGUCCGGAAUUAUUGGGCGUAAAGAGAACGUAGGCGGCCGUCUAAGUUCGGUCUUAAAGACCGGGGCUCAACCCCGGGAAUGGACUGAAGACUGGGCGGCUGGAGGAUGUCAGAGGAAGGUGGAAUUCCCAGUGUAGCGGUGAAAUGCGUAGAUAUUGGGAGGAACACCUGUGGCGAAAGCGGCCUUCUGGGGCAUUCCUGACGCUGAGGUUCGAAAGCUCGGGGAGCAAACAGGAUUAGAUAC
This 700-nucleotide ribosomal RNA is filed under the name uncultured bacterium. Its description in RNAcentral is "bacterial SSU rRNA". It matches the Rfam family "Bacterial small subunit ribosomal RNA", at positions 56 to 785 of the family's 1533-position model. The record is from RNAcentral.